Molecule: transfer RNA, 71 nt
Filed under: Pygoscelis papua (Gentoo penguin)
Lineage: Eukaryota; Metazoa; Chordata; Aves; Sphenisciformes; Spheniscidae
Description: tRNA-Gln
Rfam family: tRNA
About the family: Transfer RNA (tRNA) molecules are approximately 80 nucleotides in length. Their secondary structure includes four short double-helical elements and three loops (D, anti-codon, and T loops).
Source: RNAcentral
UAGAAAAUAAUAUAGAGGAAGUAUGGAGGGUUUUGAUCUCUCCCGCGUAGGUUCGACUCCUACUUUUCUAA